This 352-nucleotide ribosomal RNA is filed under the name Acrapex salmona. RNAcentral describes it as "partial 12S ribosomal RNA". The record is from RNAcentral. Lineage: Eukaryota; Metazoa; Arthropoda; Insecta; Lepidoptera; Noctuidae.
UAAAUUUUAAAAUUAUAAUACUAAAAUAGUAAAUAAUUAUUUAUUAAAACUUAAAUAAUUUGGCGGUAUUUUAGUUCAUUUAGAGGAAUCUGUUUAAUAAUUGAUAUUCCACGAAUAAAUUUACUUAAUUUAUAAUUUUGUAUAUCGUUGUUAUAAAAAUAUUUUUUAAUAAAAUUAAUAUUUAAAAAUUAUUAUAAAAAUUUAAAUCAGAUCAAGAUGCAGAUUAUAAUUAAGAAUAUAAUGGAUUACAAUAAAAUUAUUUAAAUGAAUAUUAAUUUGUAAUAUUUAAUUGAAAGUGGAUUUAAAUGUAAUUUUAUUUAAUUUAAUAAAAUGAUUAAAAAUUAAAAUAUGU